Molecule: ribosomal RNA, 492 nt
Filed under: uncultured bacterium
Lineage: Bacteria
Description: partial 16S ribosomal RNA
Rfam family: Bacterial small subunit ribosomal RNA
Source: RNAcentral
AGUGAACGCUGGCGGUAGGCCUAACACAUGCAAGUCGAACGGCAGCACAGUAAGAGCUUGCUCUUACGGGUGGCGAGUGGCGGACGGGUGAGGAAUACAUCGGAAUCUACUUUUUCGUGGGGGAUAACGUAGGGAAACUUACGCUAAUACCGCAUACGACCUACGGGUGAAAGCAGUGGAUCUUCUGACCUUGCGCGAUUGAAUGAGCCGAUGUCGGAUUAGCUAGUUGGCGGGGUAAAGGCCCACCAAGGCGACGAUCCGUAGCUGGUCUGAGAGGAUGAUCAGCCACACUGGAACUGAGACACGGUCCAGACUCCUACGGGAGGCAGCAGUGGGGAAUAUUGGACAAUGGGCGCAAGCCUGAUCCAGCCAUACCGCGUGGGUGAAGAAGGCCUUCGGGUUGUAAAGCCCUUUUGUUGGGAAAGAAAAGCAGCAGGUUAAUACCCCGCUGUUCUGACGGUACCCAAAGAAUAAGCACCGGCUAACUUCGUG